GGCUCAGAUUGAACGCUGGCGGCAGGCUUAACACAUGCAAGUCGAGCGGGGAAGGGUAGCUUGCUACCUGACCUAGCGGCGGACGGGUGAGUAAUGCUUAGGAAUCUGCCUAUUAGUGGGGGACAACAUUCCGAAAGGAAUGCUAAUACCGCAUACGCCCUACGGGGGAAAGCAGGGGAUCUUCGGACCUUGCGCUAAUAGAUGAGCCUAAGUCAGAUUAGCUAGUUGGUGGGGUAAAGGCCUACCAAGGCGACGAUCUGUAGCGGGUCUGAGAGGAUGAUCCGCCACACUGGGACUGAGACACGGCCCAGACUCCUACGGGAGGCAGCAGUGGGGAAUAUUGGACAAUGGGCGCAAGCCUGAUCCAGCCAUGCCGCGUGUGUGAAGAAGGCCUUUUGGUUGUAAAGCACUUUAAGCGAGGAGGAGGCUACCGAGAUUAAUACUCUUGGAUAGUGGACGUUACUCGCAGAAUAAGCACCGGCUAACUCUGUGCCAGCAGCCGCGGUAAUACAGAGGGUGCGAGCGUUAAUCGGAUUUACUGGGCGUAAAGCGUGCGUAGGCGGCUUUUUAAGUCGGAUGUGAAAUCCCUGAGCUUAACUUAGGAAUUGCAUUCGAUACUGGGAAGCUAGAGUAUGGGAGAGGAUGGUAGAAUUCCAGGUGUAGCGGUGAAAUGCGUAGAGAUCUGGAGGAAUACCGAUGGCGAAGGCAGCCAUCUGGCCUAAUACUGACGCUGAGGUACGAAAGCAUGGGGAGCAAACAGGAUUAGAUACCCUGGUAGUCCAUGCCGUAAACGAUGUCUACUAGCCGUUGGGGCCUUUGAGGCUUUAGUGGCGCAGCUAACGCGAUAAGUAGACCGCCUGGGGAGUACGGUCGCAAGACUAAAACUCAAAUGAAUUGACGGGGGCCCGCACAAGCGGUGGAGCAUGUGGUUUAAUUCGAUGCAACGCGAAGAACCUUACCUGGUCUUGACAUAGUAAGAACUUUCCAGAGAUGGAUUGGUGCCUUCGGGAACUUACAUACAGGUGCUGCAUGGCUGUCGUCAGCUCGG
RNAcentral lists this ribosomal RNA (1048 nucleotides) under gamma proteobacterium BIWA48. Its description in RNAcentral is "bacterial SSU rRNA". It matches the Rfam family "Bacterial small subunit ribosomal RNA", at positions 21 to 1063 of the family's 1533-position model. Lineage: Bacteria; Pseudomonadati; Pseudomonadota; Gammaproteobacteria. The record is from RNAcentral.